RNAcentral lists this ribosomal RNA (342 nucleotides) under uncultured bacterium. Its description in RNAcentral is "bacterial SSU rRNA". It matches the Rfam family "Bacterial small subunit ribosomal RNA", at positions 29 to 351 of the family's 1533-position model. The record is from RNAcentral.
AACGAACGCUGGCGGCGUGGAUAAGGCAUGCAAGUCGAACGAGAAAGUCACCUUCGGGUGAUGAGUACAGUGGCGAACGGGUGAGUAACACGUGGGCAACUUGCCUCUAGGUGGGGGACAACCUCGGGAAACCGGGGCUAAUACCGCAUAAUGUCGCAGGGACACAUGUCCUUGCGACCAAACGGUGGGGAUCCUUCGGGACCUGCCGCCUAGAGAUGGGCCCGCGGUUGAUUAGCUUGUUGGUGAGGUAACGGCUCACCAAGGCUCUGAUCAAUAGCCGACCUGAGAGGGUGACCGGCCACACUGGGAUUGAGAUACGGCCCAGACUCCUACGGGUGGCUG